RNAcentral lists this ribosomal RNA (235 nucleotides) under uncultured bacterium. Its description in RNAcentral is "partial 16S ribosomal RNA". It matches the Rfam family "Bacterial small subunit ribosomal RNA", at positions 99 to 334 of the family's 1533-position model. The record is from RNAcentral.
CGCAUGGGUGCGUAACGCGUAUGCAAUCUACCUCUAACUGGGAAAUAGCCCCGAGAAAUCGGGAUUAAUAUCCCAUAACAUCCAUUUAACGCAUGUUUUAUGGAUUAAAGUUCCGACGGUUAGAGAUGAGCAUGCGUAACAUUAGUUUGUUGGUGAGGUAACGGCUCACCAAGACUUCGAUGUUUAGGGGUUCUGAGAGGAUUAUCCCCCACACUGGUACUGAGACACGGACCAG